AGCAGCCGCGGUAAUUCCAGCUCCAAUAGCGUAUAUUAAAGUUGUUGCAGUUAAAAAGCUCGUAGUUGAAUUUCGGGGUUAGUAGGUUGGUCAUGCCUCUGGUAUGUACUGGUCUCACUGAUUCCUCCUUCCUGAUGAACCUUAAUGCCAUUAAUUUGGUGUUUUGGGGAAUUUGGACUGUUACUUUGAAAAAUUAGAGUGUUUAAAGCAAGCUAACGCUUGAAUACAUUAGCAUGGAAUAAUGAAAUAGGACGUUCGAUCCUAUUUUGUUGGUUUCUAGGAUUGACGUAAUGAUUAAUAGGGAUAGUUGGGGGCAUUAGUAUUGAAUUGUCAGAGGUGAAAUUCUUGGAUUUAUUGAAGACUAACUACUGCGAAAGCAUUUGCCAAGGAUGUUUUCAUUAAUCAAGAACGAAAGUUAGGGGAUCGAAGACGAUCAGAUACCGUCGCAGU
Molecule: ribosomal RNA, 450 nt
Filed under: uncultured Glomeromycotina
Lineage: Eukaryota; Fungi; Glomeromycota
Description: SSU rRNA
Rfam family: Eukaryotic small subunit ribosomal RNA
Source: RNAcentral